UUCGUAGGUGGCAAGCGUUAUCCGGAAUUAUUGGGCGUAAAGAGCGCGCAGGUGGUUGAUUAAGUCCGGUGUGAAAGCCCACGGCUUAACCGUGGAGGGUCAUUGGAAACUGGUCGACUUGAGUGCAGAAGAGGGAAGUGGAAUUCCAUGUGUAGCGGUGAAAUGCGUAGAGAUAUGGAGGAACACCAGUGGCGAAGGCGGCUUCCUGGUCUGUAACUGACACUGAGGCGCGAAAGCGUGGGGAGCAAACAGGAUUAGAUACCCGUGUA
Molecule: ribosomal RNA, 269 nt
Filed under: uncultured prokaryote
Description: partial 16S ribosomal RNA
Rfam family: Bacterial small subunit ribosomal RNA
Source: RNAcentral